CAAAGGAAUUGACGGGACCCGCACAAGCGGUGGAUGAUGUGGAUUAAUUCGAUGCGACGCGAAAACCUUACUACCCUUGACAUGCCUGGAACCUUGCUGAGAGGCGAGGGUGCCUUCGGGAGCCAGAACACAGGUGCUGCAUGGCUGUCGUCAGCUCGUGUCGUGAGAUGUUGGGUUAAGUCCCGCAACGAGCGCAACCCUUGUCAUUAGUUGCCAUCAUUUAGUUGGGCACUCUAAUGAGACUGCCGGUGACAAACCGGAGGAAGGUGGGGAUGACGUCAAGUCCUCAUGGCCCUUAUGGGUAGGGCUUCACACGUCAUACAAUGGUCGGUACAGAGGGUUGCCAAGCCGCGAGGUGGAGCCAAUCCCUUAAAGCCGAUCGUAGUCCGGAUCGUAGUCUGCAACUCGACUACGUGAAGUCGGAAUCGCUAGUAAUCGCGAAUCAGCAUGUCGCGGUCGAAUACGUUCCCGGGCCUU
Molecule: ribosomal RNA, 477 nt
Filed under: uncultured Thauera sp.
Lineage: Bacteria; Pseudomonadati; Pseudomonadota; Betaproteobacteria; Rhodocyclales; Zoogloeaceae
Description: bacterial SSU rRNA
Rfam family: Bacterial small subunit ribosomal RNA
Source: RNAcentral